This 91-nucleotide transfer RNA is filed under the name Pseudoduganella buxea. RNAcentral describes it as "tRNA-Thr". The record is from RNAcentral. Lineage: Bacteria; Pseudomonadati; Pseudomonadota; Betaproteobacteria; Burkholderiales; Oxalobacteraceae.
ACGCUCGCUGGCGCGGGUUCUGGGCGUGCGCCGCUUCGUCGACGGCUGGCUGCGCACCUACGGCGCCGGCGUGCAGCGGCGCCUGCGCGGC